UUGUGUUGCGUUUCUGUUGAUU
This 22-nucleotide microRNA is filed under the name Arabidopsis thaliana (thale cress). RNAcentral describes it as "ath-miR8182". Lineage: Eukaryota; Viridiplantae; Streptophyta; Magnoliopsida; Brassicales; Brassicaceae. The record is from miRBase by way of RNAcentral.